UGUAAGCGUAUACCAAAGUUGUUGCAGUUAAAACGCUCGUAGUCGGAAUUUGGCAGUUCCGGAUGUGUGCACGUCGUGUGCGCACUUCGCGGGGAUUGCUUUUGUGGUCUUGCGUAGGAUGAGGCACUUUUAUUAGUGAACGUCCUCACGCAACCACUUUUUACUGUGAGAAAAUCAGAGUGCUCGAAGCAGGCAUUUGCCGUGAAUGUAUUAGCAUGGAAUAAUAGAAUAGGACUUGGUUCUAUUUUGUUGGUUUGUUGGGACUGAGUGAUGAUUAAGAGGGACAGUUGGGGGCAUUUGUAUUUCGGUGCUAGAGGUGAAAUUCUUAGAUUACCGAAAGACAAACUGCUGCGAAAGCGUCUGCCAAGGAUGUUUUCAUUGA
RNAcentral lists this ribosomal RNA (382 nucleotides) under uncultured eukaryote. Its description in RNAcentral is "partial 18S ribosomal RNA". It matches the Rfam family "Eukaryotic small subunit ribosomal RNA", at positions 592 to 976 of the family's 1831-position model. The record is from RNAcentral.